AACGCACGAGACCUGCGGACCUGCGGAGGGAUCACUAGUGAACGCCCUCACGGGCUUAUAACUAUUCCAAACCUCUGUGAACCGUGCCCUUCGGGGCUAUUUUACAAACAUGGUGUAAUGAACGUCAUAUAUCAUAACAAAACAAAACUUUCAACAAUGGAUCUCU
RNAcentral lists this unclassified non-coding RNA (166 nucleotides) under soil metagenome. Its description in RNAcentral is "partial contains 5.8S ribosomal RNA, internal transcribed spacer 2, and large subunit ribosomal RNA". The record is from RNAcentral.